ACAGAGUGAAUUCUGUCAGCUGAGGGGCAGUGUCCAGGGUCUUCCUGUCCUCCACACUCCAGUGGUACUAGUACUAGAAGAUAGGAUUUCUCUGUGUAGCCCUGGCUAUCCUGGACUUCACCUUGCAGACCAGGCUGGCCUUGAACUCACAGAUCCACUGGCCUCUGCCUCCUGAGUUCUGGGACUAAAGAGUGACAAGAGAAGAACGUCUGUGUGCUUGCCUGCCAGCUAAAGGAAUACAAAGCCAAGCGGUAGGCUCACCUUGUGAUCCCAGAACUCCAGAAGCUGAGGCAAGAGGCCCACAGGCCGGCAGCCUGGCUGCACAGAGAGACUCUACCGAAGAACAAUUAUUCAAACAAAUUCAAAAGAAAAAAUUCCAGUUCUAUCAGAUGUCCCCUGGCACGCCCAAGCACACCCCCUUCUUUCCUUUUCCGGGGGUGACUACAGUUGUGUGCAGCAUUCUCUUGCUUUAAAAAAAAAAGUUUGUA
RNAcentral lists this long non-coding RNA (488 nucleotides) under Mus spretus (western wild mouse). Its description in RNAcentral is "lncRNA (ENSMSPG00010044480.1)". The record is from RNAcentral. Lineage: Eukaryota; Metazoa; Chordata; Mammalia; Rodentia; Muridae.